This 69-nucleotide transfer RNA is filed under the name pig gut metagenome. It matches the Rfam family "tRNA". Rfam says of the family: Transfer RNA (tRNA) molecules are approximately 80 nucleotides in length. Their secondary structure includes four short double-helical elements and three loops (D, anti-codon, and T loops). The record is from RNAcentral.
UGCUUAGCUCAGCUGGUUCAGAGCGGCUGCCUUACAAGCAGCGGGUCGGGGGUUCGAAUCCCUCAGCAC